RNAcentral lists this ribosomal RNA (529 nucleotides) under uncultured bacterium. RNAcentral's name for it is "bacterial SSU rRNA". It matches the Rfam family "Bacterial small subunit ribosomal RNA", at positions 163 to 680 of the family's 1533-position model. The record is from RNAcentral.
CUAAUACCGCAUAACAGUAGAUGUUGCAUGACAUUUGCUUAAAAGGUGCAAUUGCACCACUACCAGAUGGACCUGCGUUGUAUUANCUAGUUGGUGGGGUAACGGCUCACCAAGGCGACGAUACAUAGCCGACCUGAGAGGGUGAUCGGCCACACUGGGACUGAGACACGGCCCAGACUCCUACGGGAGGCAGCAGUAGGGAAUCUUCGGCAAUGGACGGAAGUCUGACCGAGCAACGCCGCGUGAGUGAAGAAGGUUUUCGGAUCGUAAAGCUCUGUUGUAAGAGAAGAACGAGUGUGAGAGUGGAAAGUUCACACUGUGACGGUAUCUUACCAGAAAGGGACGGCUAACUACGUGCCAGCAGCCGCGGUAAUACGUAGGUCCCGAGCGUUGUCCGGAUUUAUUGGGCGUAAAGCGAGCGCAGGCGGUUAGAUAAGUCUGAAGUUAAAGGCUGUGGCUUAACCAUAGUGCGCUUUGGAAACUGUUUAACUUGAGUGCAAGAGGGGAGAGUGGAAUUCCAUGUGUAGCG